Molecule: ribosomal RNA, 640 nt
Filed under: uncultured bacterium
Lineage: Bacteria
Description: bacterial SSU rRNA
Rfam family: Bacterial small subunit ribosomal RNA
Source: RNAcentral
AGAGUUUGAUCCUGGCUCAGAACGAACGCUGGCGGCAUGCCUAACACAUGCAAGUCGAACGAAGGCUUCGGCCUUAGUGGCGCACGGGUGCGUAACGCGUGGGAAUCUGCCCUUGGGUUCGGAAUAACAGUGAGAAAUUACUGCUAAUACCGGAUGAUGACUUCGGUCCAAAGAUUUAUCGCCCAAGGAUGAGCCCGCGUAAGAUUAGCUAGUUGGUGAGGUAAAGGCUCACCAAGGCGACGAUCUUUAGCUGGUCUGAGAGGAUGAUCAGCCACACUGGGACUGAGACACGGCCCAGACUCCUACGGGAGGCAGCAGUGGGGAAUAUUGGACAAUGGGCGAAAGCCUGAUCCAGCAAUGCCGCGUGAGUGAUGAAGGCCUUAGGGUUGUAAAGCUCUUUUACCAGGGAUGAUAAUGACAGUACCUGGAGAAUAAGCUCCGGCUAACUCCGUGCCAGCAGCCGCGGUAAUACGGAGGGAGCUAGCGUUGUUCGGAAUUACUGGGCGUAAAGCGCACGUAGGCGGCCAUUCAAGUCAGAGGUGAAAGCCCGGGGCUCAACCCCGGAACUGCCUUUGAAACUAGAUGGCUUGAAUCUUGGAGAGGCGAGUGGAAUUCCGAGUGUAGCGGUGAAAUGCGUAGA